AACGCACCUUGCGCUCCUUGGUAUUCCGAGGAGCAUGCCUGUUUGAGUGUCAUGAAGUUCUCAACUGCUUUGACUUUAUUGUUGAAGUGAAGUUGGAUUUGGAGGAUCUUUGCUGGCGUGAGCUUGAGUGUACAUUGUAUGCAUGCUUGCUUGUCGGCUCCUCUCAAAAGUAUGAAACCUUUCCAGUAGAUCUUGGCGAAAAGAGUAUCUUCGACGUGAUAACUAUCUGCGUCGUUGAGAAAGCUUAAGAGCAGGGCCCCUUCAAAGGCUCCUACAGGAAAAGGUUCACGCAAUAUGUCUUCUUCUCAGGAGACUGCUGCCUUGACCAAUUCGACCUCAAAUCAGGUAGGACUACCCGCUGAACUUAA
Molecule: unclassified non-coding RNA, 368 nt
Filed under: uncultured Sarcodon
Lineage: Eukaryota; Fungi; Basidiomycota; Agaricomycetes; Thelephorales; Thelephoraceae
Description: sequence contains ITS2
Rfam family: 5.8S ribosomal RNA (bases 1-52)
Source: RNAcentral